AGAUUGAACGCUGGCGGCAUGCCUUACACAUGCAAGUCGAACGCGAAAGGGGGGCAACCCCCGAGUAGAGUGGCGAACGGGUGAGUAAUACAUCGGAACGUAUCCAGUAGCGGGGGAUAACCUCUCGAAAGAGAGGCUAAUACCGCAUACGACCUACGGGUGAAAGAGGGGGAUCGCAAGACCUCUCACUAUUGGAGCGGCCGAUGUCGGAUUAGCUAGUUGGCGGGUAACGCCCACCAAGGCUACGAUCCGUAGCUGGUCUGAGAGGACGACCAGCCACACUGGAACUGAGACACGGUCCAGACUCCUACGGGAGGCAGCAGUGGGAAUUUGGACAAGUGGGCGCGAAGCCUGAUCCAGCCAGUGCCGCGUGACGUGAAGAAGGCCUUCGGGUUAGUAAAGCUUCGUUCGCGUCGGUAACGAAAGGUACCGUAGUUAACC
Molecule: ribosomal RNA, 441 nt
Filed under: uncultured soil bacterium
Lineage: Bacteria
Description: bacterial SSU rRNA
Rfam family: Bacterial small subunit ribosomal RNA
Source: RNAcentral